AAUAAAGUAAUUUUUCUUUGCUCUAACUUUGUUUCCCCAAUUAUAUAUCUACAAAGUCUGUAAAAAGUAAAGACCCUUCCCCCCACCACCACCCCCAACCCCACAUGAAGAUAAAUGAAUUGUGCGUCUUCUAAACAGAUUACAGCAAUCAAAAUCUAAAAUAAUUUAGCAACAAUAAAUCAAAAAUUGUAACCUUGAUUCGUAAUCAGAAGGAACUCAAAUUUGUUGUUGAAUUUGAAAGGUAAGAAUACGCAAAGGCUGCAUGUAUGGCUGCUCCAAUGGGAAACACAUCCUCAUCCACGGUAAAAUAAGGGCUAUGUGGAGGGUGUAUGCAUCCAAGUUUCUCAUUUCUUAUGCCUAAAAGCCAGAAGGAUCCAGGUACUUUUUCCUGGUAGAAAGCAAAAUCUUCGCUCCCCAUGAAGGUAGGUGCUAGUUGAGUGUUCUCUUCUCCUACUUGUUCAAUUGAAACACGCCGUGCAUGUUCAUAGAUUUUAGCAUCGUUUAUGGUUGGAGGAAUUGUGGGGUUUUCAGUUCCAGUGAAAUCAAUCUCAGAAGAGCACCUAUGCACAGCUGCUUGCCCUUUAAUUACCUCUUCUAUUCUUUCUUUCAGUGCAUGGAAAUUCUUCUUGCUGAAAGCCCUGAAAGUUCCGCCUAUUGUGGCUGAGUCCGGUAUCACAUUAAAUGCAGAUCCUCCAUGGAUCGUGGCCACAGAAACCACCUGAGAAUCUAGAGGAUCUGUCUCCCUUGAAACUAUUUGUUGCAAGCUAAUUACUGAAGCUGAAGCCGCCAAGAUUGGAUCAAUAGAUUGCUGAGGAUUGGCUGCGUGACCCCCUUUGCCACUUAUCUUUGCUUUGAAGCUCCCACAGCCAGCAAGGAAUUCUUCAGGCCGAGAAGCAACAACUCCGGUGGGAUACCUUUGAGCCAAGUGCAACCCAAAAAUGGCCUCCACAUUAUCAAGCACCCCUUCUUCAAUCAUGCCUUUUGCACCUUGCCCUUGUUCCUCCGCUGGUUGAAAUACAAGUAUAACAGUUCCCUGCAACACAUGUCUCAGUUCUUGCAGGAUCUUUGCAGCACCAAGAAGC
Molecule: unclassified non-coding RNA, 1082 nt
Filed under: Hevea brasiliensis (rubber tree)
Lineage: Eukaryota; Viridiplantae; Streptophyta; Magnoliopsida; Malpighiales; Euphorbiaceae
Source: RNAcentral